GAUUGAGGAGUAAUGUAGGAGCCAGGCAGCGGACUGGAAUUCAAGUCAAGGCCAGAGUUGCCAAUCCCCAAUACAACAUCCUACAAGGUGAUGUCACCUGCUGAAAGCGGAUGUCCAUGUCGAAGUGUUAUUUACCCUCAGAUAUGGGAUGGUAGUCCUCCCCAGAUGUAGCAGAUCCAUCCUUGGUGUGAACUCGGACAACAGAGACCUUGGA
Molecule: long non-coding RNA, 214 nt
Organism: Anoplopoma fimbria (sablefish)
Lineage: Eukaryota; Metazoa; Chordata; Actinopteri; Perciformes; Anoplopomatidae
Exons: 3
Source: RefSeq, a predicted model, not a curated record